GAUCAUUUUUGCUGCUCUCCUCUGAACUCUCUCCAUUGUGUCCAUGUCACGGAGUCCUCGGGCGAUGCCCUGGAACUGCUCCCUACGAAGCUAGUCAGGACUCUGGGGAAGUCUCCUUUCUGUGAGCAGCCUGUCUGCAGGACACACAGCUCACACAGCUUCCACCUUCCUGGGUCUGACCUCGGAGCAUUCAGCAUCCUCUCUGCCCCUCCAUGCACUUCCCACAAUGAGUCCGCCCUGGCGGGGUCCUGGGGAAGCCAAAGGGUCCUGCCCCCCAACUCCGCUGUCAGACGUGACUCUCAGCUAGCCAGUAAAACAGA
Chelonia mydas (Green sea turtle) is the source of this 320-nucleotide long non-coding RNA. RefSeq lists it as uncharacterized. The transcript has 3 exons. Lineage: Eukaryota; Metazoa; Chordata; Testudines; Cheloniidae. The record is from RefSeq and is a predicted model, not a curated record.